UACGGGGGGGGUAAGCGUUGUUCGGAAUUACUGGGCGUAAAGGGUCUGUAGGUGGCUUGCUAAGUCAGACGUGAAAUCCCUCAGCUUAACUGGGGAACUGCGUCUGAGACUGGCGAGCUUGAGUGCAGGAGAGGAACGCGGAAUUCCAGGUGUAGCGGUGAAAUGCGUAGGUAUCUGGAGGAACACCGGUGGCGAAGGCGGCGUUCUGGACUGUAACUGACACUGAUGAACGAAAGCCAGGGGAGCAAACGGG
RNAcentral lists this ribosomal RNA (253 nucleotides) under uncultured bacterium. Its description in RNAcentral is "partial 16S ribosomal RNA". It matches the Rfam family "Bacterial small subunit ribosomal RNA", at positions 524 to 776 of the family's 1533-position model. The record is from RNAcentral.